RNAcentral lists this ribosomal RNA (494 nucleotides) under uncultured bacterium. RNAcentral's name for it is "partial 16S ribosomal RNA". It matches the Rfam family "Bacterial small subunit ribosomal RNA", at positions 28 to 507 of the family's 1533-position model. The record is from RNAcentral.
GACGAACGCUGGCGGCGCGCUUAACACAUGCAAGUCGAACGGAAAGGCCUGCUUUCCCUUGUGGAUUGCGGGUACUCGAGUGGCGAACGGGUGAGUAACACGUGAGUGAUCUGCCCCCAACUUGGGUAUAAGCCUGGGAAACUGGGUCUAAUUCCCGAUAGGACUGCAGGGUGGUGCCUGUGGUGGAAGACGAUUUUCUAGUGGUUGGGGAUGAGCUCGCGGCCUAUCAGCUUGUUGGUGGGGUAAUGGCCUACCAAGGCGGCGACGGGUAGCCGGCCUGAGAGGGUGGACGGCCACAUUGGGACUGAGAUACGGCCCAGACUCCUACGGGAGGCAGCAGUGGGGAAUAUUGCACAAUGGGCGGAAGCCUGAUGCAGCGACGCCGCGUGGGGGAUGACGGCCUUCGGGUUGUAAACUCCUUGCGACCGCGAGGAAGCCACCUGGUUGGAAGGGUGGUGACGGUAGUGGUAGAAGAAGCACCGGCUAACUACGUG